Molecule: ribosomal RNA, 441 nt
Filed under: Triticum aestivum (bread wheat)
Lineage: Eukaryota; Viridiplantae; Streptophyta; Magnoliopsida; Poales; Poaceae
Description: partial small subunit ribosomal RNA
Source: RNAcentral
AUGGCCACUUUAGGUAGAGUCUUCAUUACUGUGGAGUGGGAGAGCUUACAUCCUAAUAUUCAGGUGAAAGCUCUGCCUAGAGUGGCUAGUGAUCACACUCCUCUGGUGGUUGAUACCUGUGCCAUUAAGAUCCCUAAAAACAAAAUGUUCAGGUUUGAGAAAUGGUGUCUUGAGGUGGAAGGUUUCAGGGAAGUGGUGAUCAAAGCUUGGAAUACUGAGUGUCACUUAGUUAAAGCCAUUGAUAUUUGGUAGUUCAAAAUUAGGAUUACUAGAAAUGCUAUUAAAGGGUGGUGCAUCAAUUAUGAGGCUGCCCAAAAUAGACAGAAGCAAUCUCUAAUUGCUGAAUAUAACUGCCUUGAUAUUAUUGCAGAAUCCCAACCUCUUUCCCCUAACUUCUGGAAUAAAAUUAAAUCUAUUUCAGGUGAGCUGAAUGAUAUCUAG